UUUAAGUGAUUUUUUUUUUCUUUCUCCCAAAGCGUUGCAAUGCACUCCAUAAAGCAUCUUUACAUCUGUUCGCUGCACGCUGUCUUUGUUACAGCAAUAAAAAUAAAGCCCUGGCUGUGAUUGUUUCUGUCUUCCCGAUGCUAUUUUGCAAAGUGCCUGGCUGUUUUCUUUCUUGUCCAUAAGUCAUCUAAACGAACAGUUCAGUUGCCAGGAAAUAUGAGGGAGCUGACCUUGAGAGACGGGGGGGGAAAGGUGAACGCAGAUUUAUGCAAGAGGCAAAAGCCCCCAGCAGUAUCCGAGGGCAAAGUCUCCUGACUUCUGUGCAGUCUUAAGAAUUUGUAAUCCCUUCUUUUAACAGUUUGGUCAAAUUUAUUUUUUUGCAAAUUAGGCCUCUGUGUGAAAGGGCUGCACAGGGCUCUGCUUCCUGCAGGAUUUCUGCAGGAGGAAACACCUGCUCUGGAGAACCUCAACCAGCAACUGCCUGUAAUUCAGAGGCCACAUUCGUGUAAGGAAGAGGUGUCGGAAAGCUACAACUUGAGAAACCGGAAGGAGCCAGAGGUGGGAUGUGGGAUCGGGGCUCUCUCGGGAGCCGGGCUGCUUCGAGGUGCUGUGGUGUCCCACCAGUGGGUCACACCAGCGUGGCUCAAGCCCGUCGCAGGGGAAACACAAGCGAUGCCCGUCCAGAAACGUGGUGCGCCGCUGCGCCUCUUCCCAGCCUGGUGGAGACGGCUUCCUGGACCUGUCGCAAUGGGGAUCAGGGCAGAGAGUCUCCGAUUACAAACACCGUGCCUCGCAGAGCUCCGCUGCAGCAGCGACAGUUUGCUGAGUUAAAUUUGGCGCACCGAAAACCGCAGACGUCUUCCCCUCUGAUUUCUCAGCCUCUUCCCCUUGCCGAUCGGGCAGGAGCCGGCGUUUCUUUGAAAGCUCAGCCUAAUUUUUUGGCUUGGUGAAACGGCACUGUACACCUGUAUGUAAAAUAAACCCC
This 985-nucleotide long non-coding RNA is filed under the name Struthio camelus australis. RNAcentral describes it as "lncRNA (ENSSCUG00000016810.1)". Lineage: Eukaryota; Metazoa; Chordata; Aves; Struthioniformes; Struthionidae. The record is from RNAcentral.